AUUUCUCUAGUAUUAACAAGUACAGUUGACUUCCAAUCAAUUAGUUCUGGUGUAACCCAGAGAGAAAUA
This 69-nucleotide transfer RNA is filed under the name Martes flavigula (yellow-throated marten). Its description in RNAcentral is "tRNA-Gly". Lineage: Eukaryota; Metazoa; Chordata; Mammalia; Carnivora; Mustelidae. The record is from RNAcentral.